AGAAUCAACGCUGGCGGCGUGCCUAACACAUGCAAGUCGAACGAGAAAGGGUAGCAAUACCUGAGUAAAGUGGCGCACGGGUGAGUAACACGUGACUAACCUACCUUUUAGUGGGGGAUAACCUAGGGAAACCUGGGCUAAUACCGCAUAAUACCUACGGGUCAAAACAGCAAUGCGCUGGAAGAGGGGUCGCGGCCGAUUAGCUAGUUGGCGGGUAAUGGCCCACCAAGGCAGUGAUCGGUAU
This 244-nucleotide ribosomal RNA is filed under the name uncultured bacterium. Its description in RNAcentral is "partial small subunit ribosomal RNA". It matches the Rfam family "Bacterial small subunit ribosomal RNA", at positions 26 to 286 of the family's 1533-position model. The record is from RNAcentral.